RNAcentral lists this ribosomal RNA (497 nucleotides) under uncultured bacterium. Its description in RNAcentral is "partial 16S ribosomal RNA". It matches the Rfam family "Bacterial small subunit ribosomal RNA", at positions 28 to 507 of the family's 1533-position model. The record is from RNAcentral.
GAUGAACGCUGGCGGCGUGCCUAAUACAUGCAAGUCGAGCGAACGGACGCGACGUUUGCUGCUCUGAUGUUAGCGGCGCACGGGUGUGUAACACGUGUAUACCCUCCCUAUAAGAGUGGGAUCAUCUCGAGACAGGGGCGCUAAUACCGGAUAAUAUUCUGCACCGCAUGGUUGAUAAGUGAAAUACGGUGUUGCUGUCACUUAUAGAUGGAUACGCGCUUCAUUAGCUAGUUGGUAAGGUAACGGCUUACCAAGGCAACGAGGCAUAGCCGACCUGAGAGGGUGAUCGGCCACACUGGAACUGAGACACGGUCCAGACUCCUACGGGAGGCAGCAGUAGGGAAUCUUCCGCAAUGGGCGAAAGCCUGACGGAGCAACGCCGCGUGAGUGAUGAAGGUCUUCGGAUCGUAAAACUCUGUUAUUAGGGAAGAACAUAUGUGUAAGUAACUGUGCACAUCUUGACGGUACCUAAUCAGAAAGCCACGGCUAACUACGUG